AUGUCCGAGGUAACACGUUCGACCGGUGAGAUGCGAUGCUGGAACCGGCGUGGGGAUUUGCUACAACCGACGAGGGGAUUUGCUUCAACCGGCGAGGAUGGUGGUGAGCGGCGACGGUGGCGGGCUGCGGAGAGGAUAGUGCUGGGCGGCCACGACGGCGGGGUGCCAUGUUUUUUGCUGCAUAGGAUUUUUGCUGGAACCAGCUUUUUGACCUGUUGCAAUCGCCUAGGAUGGUGUUGGAGCGGCUACGACGGCGACGCCAUGACUUUUUUUGCUGCGUCAUUUUUUUGUUGGAAACCCCUUUUUCAAUAUUUUGCUGGAACUAUAUGUUUUUCUGUUGGAACCAUGUCUGUUUUUUGCUGGAACCAUAUCAAUGUGUUUCGCUGGAAAAACAUCAUUUUUGCUGGAACCACAUUAUUGUUUUGUUGCAACCAUAUCUGUUAUUUGCUGGAACCAUGUGUUUUGCUUUUUAAACUGGCGUUGCUAUUUUUUGCUACAAUCGCCGAGCGCCGACGCCGACGACGAGCAUCCAGCGGGGAACGGCGAGGAGCCAGCGGAGCUUCGAGGUUGCGCGGGCAAGGAUGGAUGGCGUUUUGUUGUGUUUUUUUUUUUCUGUGCAUGCGAGGCAAAAAGAUAGGGAAAAAAAAGAAAAAGGACACGCGAUCUGACGGUUUGCAGCUUUUAGAUCGGGUGGCCAGCAGCGGACCGGCCGAAAGGUUGGGCCGGUGCACCGGCGCCUAG
This 741-nucleotide ribosomal RNA is filed under the name Triticum aestivum (bread wheat). RNAcentral describes it as "partial small subunit ribosomal RNA". The record is from RNAcentral. Lineage: Eukaryota; Viridiplantae; Streptophyta; Magnoliopsida; Poales; Poaceae.